Molecule: ribosomal RNA, 622 nt
Filed under: Paraboea aff. banyengiana Puglisi 28
Lineage: Eukaryota; Viridiplantae; Streptophyta; Magnoliopsida; Lamiales; Gesneriaceae
Description: eukaryotic LSU rRNA
Rfam family: 5.8S ribosomal RNA (bases 231-386)
Source: RNAcentral
UCGAAACCUGCAAAGCAGACCGGUGAACAUGUUCUGAUACAACUGUGGACAUGAUGUUGGACUCCAACGUCAUGGCCGCCGAUCCCAAAUGGCUCCGGUCGCUUGGGCGUAAUAAACUCUCGGCGCGGCAAGCGCCAAGGAAAACCAAAUCGAUCGGCUCUCCUCCAUGCGGGUGCUGUGCGCAGCAACCGGAUUAGUGGACGAGCCAUCUACGAAAAAAUAGUCAUAACGACUCUCGGCAACGGAUAUCUCGGCUCUCGCAUCGAUGAAGAACGUAGCGAAAUGCGAUACUUGGUGUGAAUUGCAGAAUCCCGUGAACCAUCGAGUCUUUGAACGCAAGUUGCGCCCAAAGCCAUCAGGCUGAGGGCACGUCUGCCUGGGCGUCACGCAUCUCGUCACCCCCCGACUUAAUCUUUCCCCACAUAUUGUUGGGAACGAUGCACGAAACGUGGGGGUGGAAAUUGGCCUUCCGUUAUCAAUGUGUAGCGGCCGGCCGAAAUAGAAAACCGUGUCGAUGGAUGUCACACGAUACGUGGUGGUUGGAUUCGUCAACUUGCAAACUAUCGUGUGGGACUGUCGAGCCACGGGCACGACCCAACGGCAGCAGAUGCCCUCGAAUGUA